AUGCGCCAGUCGAUUGCAUAACCGAUUCGAUACAUGGCUGUAUUAUUGUAACAUGUAAAGAAUUUCUUUUUUUUUUUGGAUCAGUGUAAUCAAUUUUCAUUUUUAGCACGAUUAACAUUACACCGCUUUCUAAAAUCUGAAUCAGUGGCUAAGGUCUCAUUAAGUUACAAUUAAAAUCGACGUUGUAAUGAGUGUGGACAUUAGAGAGGAGGAGAAAUGAAGUUUCAAGAUGCUGUUAAUUAAUACGGGAGUAUAAUUACGUCUAGAAAAAGAGUGCCGGUUUUCCACCCGGAAAGAUGCAUUUAAUCACGCCAAACGUCAGUUGCAUACAAUAAACUCUUAUUUUCUCGAAAGAGAAAAACAUCUACGAACAGAUGUUAUUUAUUGCGUUACGUUGUAAAUUUUCUGUAUUUUCUUGAUAAUUGAAUUUAUUAAUUAAUAUUAUACACAUAUUUGACAUUUUACUUUGUAUCAUAAAUUUAAUUAAUUUCAUGUAAUAAAAUGUACAAUCUUAUUUAAUCAAAUGAUAACACCUGCGAUUGCCGGCAAUCCGCGAUCGACGCAGAGACAUGAAAUGGAUACAAAAAGAAAAGGGAAAAUGGAGACUCGCGUAAAAAGAUUCGCUUCUCGCUUCGAAUCCGCCAUACGCCGGCGUUUCUCUUUCAUGCCGGUUUACUCGAUACACUCUUGUCGACGUAUGCCUAUACAAAUUAGCCGCGUGUACAUACAGGUAUAUGGUUGCGCGAGCGGCAUUCCACGUAGCGCAUUAUACAUAGAUAGAGGCGAGGACUCCGCGGGACUCCCGCGGCAUGAUCCAAUCAAACGCCAAAGUGGAUCGCAACAAAACGCUGUACCGUGAUCUCUAUCGUUGGCCCAACGAAUUUCAAUAUGAUCCGAACAACCACUUAUCCCUUGCCGGCAGAUAUUCGUACGCGCGAUAUGAAAGGCGCGGCCGGUGCAUCGCGCGAGACGACAUUGAAUGCCGCGGCUAUAUGCAGUCGCCUUUUCGAACAAGUUCACAUUUCGUGUUCCCUUUAAAAUAAUCUGUUUUAUCUGUACACGCUAUAUGCACCGACAACGAAGCCACGUCGACAUCGUGAUUAAUAUCGCGUUCGAUCGCGUAAAAAAAUCGACACUUUAGACGAGUCCGAAUAUCGUUCUUCGGGGAGAGAAAAAUUUCAACUUAAAAUAUAUUUUGAGAAAUGAAGACUUACAUCGCUGUCACUUGUUCGAUGUCAAAAAAAAUCGGUUGAAUUUAAUUUAUUUAUUUUUGAACUAGACUUUGAAGCUAUUACAUUUAGUUUUUAUAUGUGUUUUCUUAAAAACUCCUUAUUAGAUUUGUUGAUAAAAAAUUGAAGUCUAUGAACGUGACUAAAUGUCAUUCUGUAUAACUGGUGAUGUUUAUAACAAUUUACGUAUGCUAAUCGCUCGUUUUUGCUCAUAUGUCAACGCGCACGAAAGUAAUUUGCAUGGUUAUAGGCUAUAGAUAUUCUCACAUCGCAUUCUCGCGACGCACUCCAUUAUACUGCAUCCAUUUUUUUCCUGCGAGAGAUCUCGUUGAUUAGAAUCAUUUGUAACGUAUCGGUAUCAUUUAUAACGCCAUUAAUCCCUCGCUUUGACAAGGAUUAAAUCUCGGUAAUCGUCAUAUUAUACAUUUCGAAGUAACAAAGUAUUGUUUUUUUUUUCCAAAUAUGUGAGCAGUUGACGUAAUUGAUAUUCGGACAAGGUUUAUCGAGAACAGCCGCUACUGCUUCGAAUGAUCACUCGUCGCGCGUAUUCUCAAUAUUUUGCUUCAUUAAAAUCUCAAUCUCAUUCGCAAUAUCUGUCUCUAAACUGACUUUUGCCGCAACGGCAAAAAGAACGUCGAGAGAGCGAUAGCUUUGUCGAAUGAAAAAAGGAGAUUGCCUAUUUAGAAACUGACGGCUCGAAAGCCCUAAGGUGGCGUCAUUUAUCUGGUAGGAAAAAGACGAAGCGGCGUUUAGAGAAAUACGUAGAUAGGUAGCGAUAGUAGACGAGCGAGUAAGAAAACGGGUAAAGAAAGAAGAGGCAGAGAGGGAAAAGAGAAGACAGGUACGAUCUUUAGGGGAUGACGAAGAAGCGUUUUUGUCGGCGUAGUCACGAGAGGGUGGGAAGAUCGCUUCUUCUUCGCCUAGCCUUUCUCCUUCUCGCUCUGACGUGGUCUUUUUCUUCGCAUUUCUUUCUCUUCACAAGGCGGCGCGUUUAAGAAAGCCCACCCCCGUCGUCCCUCCUUCCGAUCUUUCUUUCCCUUUCUUCUCUUUUAUCACUCCGCCGUGGUCGCCGGUUCUCGUUGCUCACCCCGAAGAGCCGUGCGCGCAAGGGCGAGAUGGAGGUUCCACGGAUGAGAAACGUGUUUGUCAAUAGCCUGUUAAUGCGCUAAGCCAUUAAUCAUUGCGAGCGCUCGCUCCUGUCACCGCGAACUUAAACCAUCCCCCAAGCUUCGAAGCUGGUAGGAAAGAGAGUGGGGGUGAGAGCACGGGGGUGGCUGUGCAAAACAGCAAGAACCGACUUGUGCGGUUCUUUCCUGAUCCCGAGACCUCGUUUCCGCCACUCGCUCUUUCCUCAUUCGUUUAUCUCUGCGUUACGUCUGCUCUGGUAAACAGAAUUUAGUUCCCAAAGCAUUUUUUUAUCAAAUUGAAGUGAAAUUUUACCAAAAAACCAUUUACCGAUUCGUAAUGAGACAAAGUCUCAUUAAAUGCAUUCUAAUAGUAUCACUAAAGGAUAUCCGUUUUCUUCGUGCUGUUUACUUAAUCUGUAGUUCAAACUACUUAAAGUGUUUAAUUUGCCAGAUGUUAUAUAUAAAUUUAAAUAAAAAUAAUUAUUUUGAUAUUGCUCUAUUUCUUUAAUUUAAGUCUUUUCUUAUAGAAUGCUGGCAAAAAUUAUGAAUAAGGGUAAAUAAAUUAAAAAUUCGUGGACUUUUUAUUUAUUGUAUUUGAAAGAUACAUAUUCAUUACAAAUAUUCUCUACGAUGUCCGGGUUUUAUGAAGCAAAUAAGCGGGAUUGACGAAACGCAACUGAUCUUUUCAUCACGGAUUCGAACCGCUCUUAAUUCCCGCACGUUUUCGUCAGGUGAAACGGUUGCGUCGGCGACGUAAAGCGGUGGCCGCCUUCGUGCAACGCGAUACAUGCUCGUCUAUCAUAUCGGCAAGAUCUUCGCGCGCGUUGAUGCACGGCCACGUAAUAAUAUCUCGCUAGCGGCGUGCGAGAGAGCGAAGAUUCGCUCUCUGAAAUAACCGCGCGUUUGCGGCCACCGCGCGCGGCGUGCACGCGCGGGCGUAGAGUUUGUGGAGAUGGUGAUCGGGACGCUUCUGUAGAAUGCAGCAGGGAAGAGGAAGACGAAGAGGAAGAGUGCGUGAGAGAAAGCGAACAAAUUCGAACGAGCGAGGAAGAAAGAGAGAUAUGAGAGAGAGAGGGUAAAUGAAAGAGGAAGGAGAUAGAGCAUUUCUAUUUAUAGCGUUCUAUUCGUUUCGGGUAACUUCGGAUGCUGCAUGGAUCUGCCAUGGCGGAAGGCAUUAUUAUGGUAAACGAACGUACGACGCUCCGUUUAUUAUCUCGAAGUUUAUUGUGCUUUCGCGGCCGAUUAACUUGUCUAGUCUCGAGAUCGGAACCGCUCGCGAGUAGAGAGUCGCGCACGCACGAUUCGCUUCUCCUUAAACGUCUCGCUCAUUCAGGAAUUAAUCGCUAAUCCGUAGUCUGUGGUCUGCAAUCUGCAAAGCUACUCGUGUUUGACUUUAUAAUAAUAAUGCACAUUGAAUAUAUAUAACAUAAUGAUAACGUUCAUAACUCUUAUUUCGUUGUCGCUCGCAGAUGUAGGCGCAUGGCGCCUUUUGCAUAAUCGUAAUCCGAGUUCCGGCGUCGCGGAUUAUAUGCCCGCGAUAACGAACCGCGGAUAAUAAACGUUUAGCGUUUAACGAGUACAGGCACUAUAAUUCCCCUCGUGAAACUUGUAUAAGAUUCACGGAUGUAACGAGAAAUCCGCGAACCGGCGCGCGGAACAUAAAUUAACGUUAACAAGACGCGGCCUGUACGUUAAUAGACGCACAACUAUAUAGCCGGUCGGGUGGAGUCUACGAAUUAGCGGCGACUCGACGUCGUAAAACUCGUCGAUUAAAAGAGUUCCAAAAGGCCGAGGAUGCGCGUGUCCGAAAGCGAAUUCGCUCGUAAAAACCAGAUGUUUCGCGAGAAAAUCGCGUGGAAGUGAUCGCGUUCCGCAGACGCGCGCUUCUGUGUUCCUCGCUCUGUUCCUCGACGUUCAUUCGAGCUCGCUCAUUAUUCCGACCGAAAUGAGAGGCGCACAUCGGGGCGAGUUUGCCUUCAUCUCCUAACGUUACAUCAAGUUCCGAGAGACGACUUCCCGUAAAACGUUGCUUGAAAUUAACUACGGGUUUAUUCAAUCCUUCGCCUCUUUGGAAUUAUGCCUCCGAAAGGAUUGACUCUGACGGGGGAUCAGUUAAACAUCAGUUAACUUAAGCUAAUCGCUUGUGGGAACGCGCGGGGCCGUAUGGGUCAUAUCGUUCUUACGCGCUGACCUCGGGGAUGCGCGAUACAUCAUGCACCGUGAGUGCAGACAAUGUGCUUUCCCAAGUACAAACUGCUUAUUGUUUCUCGAGCGGCGCGCGCUCGCUCGCUCGCUCGCUCGCUGCUGCGAGAGGGUCGAGAAGGAGUCGAGAAACGAUAAUAAUAGCUGUGUGCGCGGCCUCCUCGCAGCCGCCACUCACGAGCCGGCCGUUUUCUCGCUCCGGCUUUAUGAAAUAUCCUCGCCAUUCUUUCGCGCCUGACUCACUCCUCCGUCCGUGCCGUGCUUCAUUCAUGAGGGCGGCCGUGCGCGCGGAACAGUGAUCCGCACUGUGCGGCCACGCCGCUUUAAUUGCACGUAUGUACACGUGCCGCCACGACGACAGAUACAACGCCGCGCUCCUUUUUCUGUCCGGGAAAACGCUCGAGAUUCUUCAGUUCUUCAUAUAGGUUGUACAACCCCGUGUGAUUAUUACUUACUUUUAUUAAAAUUAUUAUUUACUUUCCGCGUUUAUCUUCUAUACGUGGUCGUCGGACCCUUUCUCCUCCUCAGGAAGAAAUGAGAAUCGCGAUCUAACGCUUUUUGACGACAUCGACGUUAUUAUCUAUCGGGAAUUGUGCUAGGUUGCUUUGAAGGCGGGAAAUCGUGAUAUCUCAUCACGAUCGAUUCAGAUCGACAACUUGAAUUCCGCGAAGCGCAAAUUCGCACGGUAUAUGUGCGUCGUAUUUUUAAUAAUUCUAGAUAUCUGAUACAAAUAUGCAAACAUGUAUAGUAUAUAAUCGAUCUCGAAUGAGAAUCGCAUUGUCCCUGCUGGGUAUCGUUACGAACGACACGUGUUUCCGCAGCCGGUUGCGUGCGGUAAGAAAUCGUCGUUUCGUAGCUAAUUAAGAUUUCGAGAUGCGAUAGGAAUGAAUAUAAUAACAAAAAAAAA
Monomorium pharaonis (pharaoh ant) is the source of this 5465-nucleotide long non-coding RNA. RefSeq lists it as uncharacterized. The record is from RefSeq and is a predicted model, not a curated record. Lineage: Eukaryota; Metazoa; Arthropoda; Insecta; Hymenoptera; Formicidae. The transcript has 2 exons.